This 72-nucleotide transfer RNA is filed under the name Bos taurus (domestic cattle). It matches the Rfam family "tRNA". Rfam says of the family: Transfer RNA (tRNA) molecules are approximately 80 nucleotides in length. Their secondary structure includes four short double-helical elements and three loops (D, anti-codon, and T loops). Further hydrogen bonds mediate the characteristic L-shaped molecular structure. tRNAs have two regions of fundamental functional importance: the anti-codon, which is responsible for specific mRNA codon recognition, and the 3' end, to which the tRNAs corresponding amino acid is attached (by aminoacyl-tRNA synthetases). tRNAs cope with the degeneracy of the genetic code in two manners: having more than one tRNA (with a specific anti-codon) for a particular amino acid; and 'wobble' base-pairing, i.e. permitting non-standard base-pairing at the 3rd anti-codon position. RNAcentral also lists the same sequence under 4 other names. The record is from Rfam by way of RNAcentral. Lineage: Eukaryota; Metazoa; Chordata; Mammalia; Artiodactyla; Bovidae.
UCCCUGGUGGCUCAGAUGGUAAAGAAUCUGCCUGCAAUGCAGGAGACCCAGGUUCAAUCCCUGGGUAGGGAA